GUCCACGCCGUAAACGAUGGAUACUAGCUGUUGGAAGUAAUUUCAGUGGUUAAGCGAAAGUGAUAAGUAUCCCACCUGGGGAGUACGUUCGCAAGAAUGAAACUCAAAGGAAUUGACGGGGCCCGCACAAGCGGUGGAGCAUGUGGUUUAAUUCGAUGAUACGCGAGGAACCUUACCAAGGCUUAAAUGUAGUUUGACAGAUUUGGAAACAGAUUUUUCUUCGGACAAAUUACAAGGUGCUGCAUGGUUGUCGU
This 254-nucleotide ribosomal RNA is filed under the name uncultured bacterium. RNAcentral describes it as "partial 16S ribosomal RNA". It matches the Rfam family "Bacterial small subunit ribosomal RNA", at positions 793 to 1055 of the family's 1533-position model. The record is from RNAcentral.